CUUCAGGGAGGCCAGGCGCAGCGGCCGGUCCGCGGCGCGGUGCUGUCCGUAGGUGGCGAGCAGGGCCCGGGCCUC
Molecule: antisense RNA, 75 nt
Filed under: Streptomyces noursei
Lineage: Bacteria; Bacillati; Actinomycetota; Actinomycetes; Kitasatosporales; Streptomycetaceae
Also listed under: 1 other name
Description: ASpks TB sRNA
Rfam family: ASpks TB sRNA
Source: RNAcentral